This 403-nucleotide ribosomal RNA is filed under the name uncultured bacterium. Its description in RNAcentral is "partial 16S ribosomal RNA". It matches the Rfam family "Bacterial small subunit ribosomal RNA", at positions 28 to 526 of the family's 1533-position model. The record is from RNAcentral.
GACGAACGCUGGCGGCGUGCCUAAUACAUGCAAGUCGAACGCAGUUGGGACGGGUGAGUAACACGUGGGUAACCUCCCAUCAGAGGGGAUACCACUUGGAAACAGGUGCUAAACCGAUACUGAUGGAUGGACCCGCGGUGCAUUAGCUAGUUGGUGGGGUAACGGCUCACCAAGGCGACGAUGCAUAGCUGACCUGAGUGGGUGAUCGGCCACACUGGGACUGAGACACGGCCCAGACUCCUACGGGAGGCAGCAGUAGGGAAUCUUGGGCAAUGGACGAAAGCCUGAUCGAGCAACGCCGCGUGAGUGAAGAAGGUCUUCGGAUCGUAAAACACUUUUGUUAGAGAAGCGUUACCUAACCAGAAAGCCACGGCUAACUACGUGCCAGCAGCCGCGGUAAUAC